GUCCAGGGAUGGAAAUCGAACCCACAGUGUUCCGCUUACUGGGCAGAUGCCAUGUCCACUAGGCUACCCUGGA
Cordylochernes scorpioides is the source of this 73-nucleotide non-coding RNA. The record is from the annotation of a GenBank genome assembly. Lineage: Eukaryota; Metazoa; Arthropoda; Arachnida; Pseudoscorpiones; Chernetidae.